Molecule: long non-coding RNA, 202 nt
Filed under: Elaeis guineensis (African oil palm)
Lineage: Eukaryota; Viridiplantae; Streptophyta; Magnoliopsida; Arecales; Arecaceae
Description: long non-coding RNA (EGUI_LNC054645)
Source: RNAcentral
AAUUAGAUCCAAUCCCAUUAGGUCAAAGAUAACUGGUCUAGUCUAGCUCAAACACUUUGAACUAAAUCAAUUUAGAAACUUAGAUUAAUAUAAUGUGCUAGCAUAUCAAAUUAACCUUUAAAAUUUAUAUUAAAUCUUAAUUAGAUUAGAUCAAAAUUAAAUCUCAAAAUAUGUGAUAUAUUGAAUUCUAAAUCUAGCCAGC